Molecule: ribosomal RNA, 531 nt
Filed under: Trichoderma asperellum
Lineage: Eukaryota; Fungi; Ascomycota; Sordariomycetes; Hypocreales; Hypocreaceae
Description: eukaryotic LSU rRNA
Rfam family: 5.8S ribosomal RNA (bases 141-294)
Source: RNAcentral
GUUGCCUCGGCGGGGUCACGCCCCGGGUGCGUCGCAGCCCCGGAACCAGGCGCCCGCCGGAGGAACCAACCAAACUCUUUCUGUAGUCCCCUCGCGGACGUAUUUCUUACAGCUCUGAGCAAAAAUUCAAAAUGAAUCAAAACUUUCAACAACGGAUCUCUUGGUUCUGGCAUCGAUGAAGAACGCAGCGAAAUGCGAUAAGUAAUGUGAAUUGCAGAAUUCAGUGAAUCAUCGAAUCUUUGAACGCACAUUGCGCCCGCCAGUAUUCUGGCGGGCAUGCCUGUCCGAGCGUCAUUUCAACCCUCGAACCCCUCCGGGGGAUCGGCGUUGGGGAUCGGGACCCCUCACACGGGUGCCGGCCCCUAAAUACAGUGGCGGUCUCGCCGCAGCCUCUCCUGCGCAGUAGUUUGCACAACUCGCACCGGGAGCGCGGCGCGUCCACGUCCGUAAAACACCCAACUUUCUGAAAUGUUGACCUCGGAUCAGGUAGGAAUACCCGCUGAACUUAAGCAUAUCAAUAAGCGGAGGGAA